GAUGAACGCUGGCGGCGUGCCUAAUACAUGCAAGUCGAGCGAACGGACGAGAAGCUUGCUCCUCUGAUGUUAGCGGCGGACGGGUGAGUAACACGUGGAUAACCUACCUAUAUGACUGGGAUAACUUCGGGAAACCGGAGCUAAUACUGGAUAAUAUUUUGAACCGCUUGGUUCAAAAGUGAAAGACGGUCUUGCUGUCACUUAUAGAUGGAUCCGCGCUGCAUUAGCUAGUUGGUAAGGUAACGGCUUACCAAGGCAACGAUGCAUAGCCGACCUGAGAGGAUGAUCGGCCACACUGGAACUGAGACACGGUCCAGACUCCUACGGGAGGCAGCAGUAGGGAAUCUUGGGCAAUGGGCGAAAGCCUGACGGAGCAACACCGCGUGGGUGAAGAAGGUCUUCGGGUCGUAAAGCUCUGUUGUUAGGAAAGAACAUAUGUGUAAGUAACUGUGGACAUCCUGACGGUACCUAAACAGAAAGCAACGGCUAACUACGUG
Molecule: ribosomal RNA, 497 nt
Filed under: uncultured bacterium
Lineage: Bacteria
Description: partial 16S ribosomal RNA
Rfam family: Bacterial small subunit ribosomal RNA
Source: RNAcentral